Molecule: long non-coding RNA, 1856 nt
Organism: Oncorhynchus kisutch (coho salmon)
Lineage: Eukaryota; Metazoa; Chordata; Actinopteri; Salmoniformes; Salmonidae
Exons: 2
Source: RefSeq, a predicted model, not a curated record
CUCCCUGCCACCCCUGGCCCCUCCCUGCCCCACCCCUGGCCCCUCCCUCCACCUACUUCCCUUCCUAUCCACCUCCUUUAUGUUGUCCUUUUGUUUGUAGCUCUUUGUAUGAAGUGCCUUAACAAGCAGCUUGUUCUGAAGUAAUAACCUGUUCUCCGUGUAUGUGGAAACAUCCGUCCACCCACGAUGUUACUCAUCACGUAACAUCACUUUAUGUUCCACACAUUGAAUCAACACCCAUCCUACCACUUUUGAUGUUCAGUAAGACACAUUGCAUCAAGGUUUAGGCUGUUUUUCUAUAGUUGGAUGGAGGGAGGAUGUAUGUUCUGCUGCUGGCUUGGCUGCAGUGCCCCAGAAUAUUGACAACUAUAUGAAGAUGAUCCACGGCAGAGAAAGCCCCUGGAUGGAGAUGACAGCUCAACGAGCCAGAGUGCAGACUAGUUCAUUAGGAUCCUAACGUUACUCCCCCUCGAGCUUCACAAUCAGAACACUAAGAACUGAUCUAUUCUAGAACUGGAACGUUAAGUAGCUCCACGCUCCCCGGACUCUCCGGGGGUUCCUUCCUGAUUCUAGAACUGGAACGUUAAGUAGCUCCACCCUCCCGGACUCUCCAGGGGUUCCUUCCUGUUUGGGAGGACUUAUCUACCUACCGUACGAUGCAAACGAGAAGAAAUGGGUGUUGUUGCAGUUUGACGUUCUUCUGGGUGGGCAGUUGGUCACUCCACUUUAUUCUCCUUGAUGUGCCACAGCUAAACCAUCUUGGCACCCUGUACACUUUGUAAAUACUUGAUUUAAUUUUUAAUUGAUUGUUUUAAAAACAAGUUGAAAAGGCUGGUUGACAUGUUGACGAUGUGAGCUGAUGCAUCUGUAAGUUUUGAAUCUGGUCAGGACUGGAGAUUAGAUUUUUCCCUUUUUACUCAAACCCCCUUCACAGAAUGAGCUGCAACGAUGGCCUGUUUAGUCAGUGAAGUUCUGAUUUGUCAAAGAGCACUCUGUGUUCGGAUGUAGUCUACGACCAUUUAAUUCUCACAUUGUGUAUGAUGAUAUGUGCUCCUUGUGCUUUUAGCCAAAGCACAGAUUAAACUACAGUUUCACCCUUGACAUUUAAUAAUCAAUGCAGUUGUUCAACCCUGUUACAUUAAGUUUAGAUAAUAUUCCUCUUCUCCUUCCAGUGUUGACAGGAUGUCCCUCUAGACAGGAUGUCCCUCUAGACAGGUGGAAUAAGGAUCAGAGCAGCAUGUUAUUUUAUCACCAGCUUUUCUUCCUUCAACUGACUCAACAAGCCACUCCCCACAAUCCCUGCAAAGAGUGACUGUUAUUAUUAUUAUAAAGGUAAAUGAAUAUUGUAUCAUGUAGUUGAAGAGACUUGCUGCAGUGCAGCUCAAAUUGGCUCUGAGGAGUAAUGUAUAUGAAUGGGUAUCUGAUCUACACUCUAGCUGUUAGGUUGGUCUGUGUGAUCGGCAAUGGGGACGUCACUCUAGCUGUUAGGUUGGUCUGUGUGAUCGGCAAUGGGGACGUCACUCUAGCUGUUAGGUUGGUCUGUGUGAUCGGCAAUGGGGACGUCACUCUAGCUGCAAGUAUUAGAUAAAAACAUAUGUUGUCUAUCUUCCCUUACGUUAAACCCACACCAGUUGCUUUGUAUCUGAACAAACUAUCAGACCCCUCAAUGUAGCAGGGAAAAAAGUGUUUCUGUGCAUCACGCGAGUCAGCUGGUUAGAAUUACACACCAGUUUCUGUUUUGUUGUACAAUAUGAAGUUAAAUCCUUAGUGGUGUGGACGGACUAGUAACAGGCCAACACACCGACUGCUAGGCCGUCCCUGUACUGAAACCAGAUGUGCUUAGUGCUUCCUUUUGU